CAGCCGCCGCGGUAAUACGAAGGGUGCAAGCGUUACUCGGAAUUACUGGGCGUAAAGCGUGCGUAGGUGGUGGUUUAAGUCCGUUGUGAAAGCCCUGGGCUCAACCUGGGAAUUGCAGUGGAUACUGGGUCACUAGAGUGUGGUAGAGGAUAGUGGAGUUUCCGGUGUAGCAGUGAAAUGCGUAGAGAUCGGAAGGAACAUCUGUGGCGAAGGCGACUAUCUGGGCCAACACUGACACUGAGGCACGAAAGCGUGGGGAGCAAACAGGAUUAGAUACCCGUGUAGUCCCUGUCUCUUAUAC
Molecule: ribosomal RNA, 301 nt
Filed under: uncultured bacterium
Lineage: Bacteria
Description: partial 16S ribosomal RNA
Rfam family: Bacterial small subunit ribosomal RNA
Source: RNAcentral